GAUGAACGCUGGCGGCGUGCCUAAUACAUGCAAGUCGAGCGAACGGACGAGAAGCUUGCUUUUCUGAUGUUAGCGGCGGACGGGUGAGUAACACGUGGAUAACCUACCUAUAAGACUGGGAUAACUUCGGGAAACCGGAGCUAAUAUCGGAUAAUAUUUUGAACCGCAUGGUUCAAAAGUGAAAGACGGUCUUGCUGUCACUUAUAGAUGGAUCUGCGCUGCAUUAGCUAGUUGGUAAGGUAACGGCUUACCAAGGCAACGAUGCAUAGCCGACCUGAGAGGGUGAUCGGCCACACUGGAACUGAGACACGGUCCAGACUCCUACGGGAGGCAGCAGUAGGGAAUCUUCCGCAAUGGGCGAAAGCCUGACGGAGCAACGCCGCGUGAGUGAUGAAGGUCUUCGGAUCGUAAAACUCUGUUAUUAGGGAAGAACAUAUGUGUAAGUAACUGUGCACAUCUUGACGGUACCUAAUCAGAAAGCCACGGCUAACUACGUG
This 497-nucleotide ribosomal RNA is filed under the name uncultured bacterium. RNAcentral's name for it is "partial 16S ribosomal RNA". It matches the Rfam family "Bacterial small subunit ribosomal RNA", at positions 28 to 507 of the family's 1533-position model. The record is from RNAcentral.